RNAcentral lists this ribosomal RNA (380 nucleotides) under uncultured eukaryote. RNAcentral describes it as "partial 18S ribosomal RNA". It matches the Rfam family "Eukaryotic small subunit ribosomal RNA", at positions 592 to 976 of the family's 1831-position model. The record is from RNAcentral.
CAAUAGCGUAUAUUAAAGUUGUUGCAGUUAAAAAGCUCGUAGUUGGAUUUGUGGCGUACGGUGUGUUCCGGGCACUUGUUGUCUGAGUAACCUGCUGUUGCCAUCCUUGGGUGGAACCUGUGUGGCAUUAGGUUGUCGUGCAGGGGAUGCCCAUCAUUUACUAUGAAAAAAUUAGAGUGUUCAAAGCAGGCUUAUGCCGUUGAAUAUAUUAGCAUGGAAUAAUGAGAUAGGACUUUUUUGCUAUUUUGUUGGUUUGCGCAAAGAGGUAAUGAUUAAUAGGGACAGUUGGGGGUAUUCGUAUUCCAUUGUCAGAGGUGAAAUUCUUGGAUUUUUGGAAGACGAACUACUGCGAAAGCAUUUACCAAGGAUGUUUUCAUUAA